This 555-nucleotide small RNA is filed under the name Pan troglodytes (chimpanzee). RNAcentral's name for it is "retained intron". Lineage: Eukaryota; Metazoa; Chordata; Mammalia; Primates; Hominidae. The record is from RNAcentral.
AGGCUGGGCCCUGACCAGAGCUCUCGAGCCCCAGCUGCUCCUCUCCAGUUUCUGUAGCGUGGUUUGGGUUGCUCCAAUGAGGUGAAUGACAUAUUCAAGGUCACACAGCAAGGAAGGGGCAGAGCUGGACCACAGCCUGGAAUCUCUGCCCGCUCCUUGUCUUCUGACUGGGCUGUGCUGCUUGGGCCCAGGGUUGUCCCAGGUCCUGCUGCGAGGAGGCGGCCAGGUCCUGCUCGGCUGGACACUCCAUUACUUCCCGUUUUUCCUGAUGGGCCGGGUCCUCUACUUCCACCACUACUUCCCAGCCAUGCUUUUCUCAAGCAUGUUGACAGGCAUUCUGUGGGACACCCUCCUGCGGCUCUGUGCCUGGGGCUUGGCCUCAUGGCCCCUGGCGAGGGGCAUACAUGUGGCGGGAAUCCUGAGCCUGCUCCUGGGAACCGCCUACAGGUGAGCAUCCCUGCACCUCACAUGCCCUCCCAGUGUGGGCUCAGCAGUGCCUCAGCCCUGAUGCAUUCGAGAAUCCCCUGUGGUGCUUUUAACACCACCAGUGCCCAU